This 464-nucleotide ribosomal RNA is filed under the name uncultured bacterium. RNAcentral's name for it is "partial 16S ribosomal RNA". It matches the Rfam family "Bacterial small subunit ribosomal RNA", at positions 28 to 506 of the family's 1533-position model. The record is from RNAcentral.
GACGAACGCUGGCGGCGUGCUUAACACAUGCAAGUCGAACGGAAAGGCCCCUUUGGGGGUACUCGAGUGGCGAACGGGUGAGUAACACGUGAGUAACCUGCCCUUGACUUCGGGAUAACUUCAGGAAACUGGGGCUAAUACCGGAUAGGAAUCCUUGCUGCAUGGUGGGGGUUGGAAAGCUUCGGCGGUUUUGGAUGGACUCGCGGCUUAUCAGCUUGUUGGUGGGGUAGUGGCUUACCAAGGCUUUGACGGGUAGCCGGCCUGAGAGGGCGACCGGCCACAUUGGGCCUGAGGUACGGCCCAGACUCCUACGGGGGGCAGCAGGGGGGAAUUUUGCACAAUGGGCGGAAGCCUGAUGCAGCAACCCCGGGUGCGGGAUAACGGCCUUCGGGUUUUAAACCACUUUCAACGGGGGCGAACCUUUUGGGGGCGGAACCUGCAAAAAAAGCACCGGCUAACUCCGG